AAACCAUGCAUCGUGUUGAAACGAUCCCAUGCUUCAUAUAAUGUUUCAUCUUUCGAUUGCCUAAACGAUGUAAUAUCGUUACUAAGCUU
Molecule: small nucleolar RNA, 89 nt
Filed under: Gossypium arboreum
Lineage: Eukaryota; Viridiplantae; Streptophyta; Magnoliopsida; Malvales; Malvaceae
Description: Plant small nucleolar RNA R71
Rfam family: Plant small nucleolar RNA R71
About the family: R71 is a member of the C/D box family of snoRNAs containing the C (UGAUGA) and D (CUGA) box motifs.
Source: Rfam by way of RNAcentral